This 395-nucleotide ribosomal RNA is filed under the name uncultured bacterium. Its description in RNAcentral is "partial 16S ribosomal RNA". It matches the Rfam family "Bacterial small subunit ribosomal RNA", at positions 338 to 730 of the family's 1533-position model. The record is from RNAcentral.
CCUACGGGAGGCAGCAGUGAGGAAUAUUGGUCAAUGGGCGCGAGCCUGAACCAGCCAAGCCGCGUGAAGGAUGAAUGCCCUCCGGGUUGUAAACUCCUUUAGUAAAGGAGUAAAGUGAGGCACGUGUGCAUUAUUGAAUGUACUUUAUCAAUAAGGAUCGGCUCACCCCGUUCCGGCAGCCGCGGUAAUACGGAGGGUCUGAGCGUUAUCCGGAUUUAUUGGGUUUAAAGGGAGCGUAGAUGGGAUGUUAAGUCAGUUGUGAAAGUUUGCGGCUCAACGGUAAAAUUGCAAUUGAUACUGGCAGCCUGGAGUGCAGGAGAGGUAGGCGGAAUUCGAGGUGUAGCGGUGAAAUGCGUAGAUAUCAGGAAGAACACCGGUGGCGAAGGCGGCCUACU